UGCUUGUCUCAAAGAUUAAGCCAUGCAUGUCUAUGCAUAAACCGAAUAUGGUAAAGCCGCGAAUGGCUCAUUACAACAGCCAUAGUUUAUUGGAUCUUAGAGUCCUACUUGGAUACCUGUGGUAAUUCUAGAGGUAAUACACGCAAACAAGCCCCAACCUUACGGGCGGGGCGCAUUUAUUAGAACAAAACCAAUUGGCUUCGGCCAUUAUUUGGUGAAUCUGAAUAACUACGCUGAUCGCACGGUCUCGCACCGGCGACGUAUCCUUCAAGUGUCUGCCUUAUCAACUUUCGAUGGUAGUUUAUAUGACUACCAUGGUUGUAACGGGUAACGGAGAAUAAGGGUUCGACUCCGGAGAGGGAGCCUGAGAAACGGCUACCACAUCCAAGGAAGGCAGCAGG
Molecule: ribosomal RNA, 401 nt
Filed under: Dichromadora sp. 93L19E15
Lineage: Eukaryota; Metazoa; Nematoda; Chromadorea; Chromadorida; Chromadoridae
Description: bacterial SSU rRNA
Rfam family: Eukaryotic small subunit ribosomal RNA
Source: RNAcentral